AACGAACGCUGGCGGCAUGCCUAACACAUGCAAGUCGAACGAGACCUUCGGGUCUAGUGGCGCACGGGUGCGUCACGCGUCGGAACCUGCCCUUAGGUUCGGAAUAACUCUCCGACAGGGGUGCUAAUACAGGAAAAUGUCUUCGAACCAAAGAUUUAUCGUGCUUGGAUGGGCACGCGUUGGAUUAGCUUGUUGGUAGGGUAAAAGCCUAUCACGGCGUCGAUCCAUAGCUGGUCUGAGAGGCUGAUCAGCCACACUGGGACUGAGACACGGCCCAGACUCCUACGGGAGGCAGCAGUGGGGAAUAUUGGACAAUGGGCGAAAGCCUGAUCCAGCAAUGCCGCGUGAGUGAUGAAGGCCGUAGGGUUGUAAAGCUCGUUUACCCGGGAUGAUAAUGACAGUACCGGGAGAAUAAGCUCCGGCUAACUCCGUG
Molecule: ribosomal RNA, 433 nt
Filed under: uncultured bacterium
Lineage: Bacteria
Description: partial 16S ribosomal RNA
Rfam family: Bacterial small subunit ribosomal RNA
Source: RNAcentral